RNAcentral lists this signal recognition particle RNA (72 nucleotides) under Pyrinomonadaceae bacterium. RNAcentral's name for it is "partial signal recognition particle sRNA small type". It matches the Rfam family "Bacterial small signal recognition particle RNA", at positions 1 to 71 of the family's 97-position model. From Rfam's summary of the family: The signal recognition particle (SRP) is a universally conserved ribonucleoprotein involved in the co-translational targeting of proteins to membranes. The record is from RNAcentral. Lineage: Bacteria; Pseudomonadati; Acidobacteriota; Blastocatellia; Blastocatellales; Pyrinomonadaceae.
CUUCGGGCUCCGCACAACGUUUGCCCUGUGAACCCCGCCAGGCCGGGAACGGAGCAACGGUAGCAGCGGCGG